GGCAGCACGAUGUAGCAAUACAUUGGUGGCGACCGGCGCACGGGUGAGUAACGCGUAUGGAACCUACCUAUCAGAGGGGAAUAACCCGGCGAAAGUCGGACUAAUACCGCAUAAAACAGGGGUUCCACAUGGAAAUAUUUGUUAAAGAAUUAUCGCUGAUAGAUGGGCAUGCGUUCCAUUAGAUAGUUGGUGAGGUAACGGCUCACCAAGUCCACGAUGGAUAGGGGUUCUGAGAGGAAGGUCCCCCACACUGGUACUGAGACACGGACCAGACUCCUACGGGAGGCAGCAGUGAGGAAUAUUGGUCAAUGGGCGAGAGCCUGAACCAGCCAAGUCGCGUGAAGGAUGAAGGAUCUAUGGUUUGUAAACUUCUUUUAUAUGGGAAUAAAGUGAGGAACGUGUUCCUUUUUGUAUGUACCAUAUGAAUAAGCAUCGGCUAACUCCGUGCCAGCAGCCGCGGUAAUACGGAGGAUGCGAGCGUUAUCCGGAUUUAUUGGGUUUAAAGGGUGCGUAGGUGGUUAAUUAAGUCAGCGGUGAAAGUUUGUGGCUCAACCAUAAAAUUGCCGUUGAAACUGGUUGACUUGAGUAUAUUUGAGGUAGGCGGAAUGCGUGGUGUAGCGGUGAAAUGCAUAGAUAUCACGCAGAACUCCGAUUGCGAAGGCAGCUUACUAAACUAUAACUGACACUGAAGCACGAAAGCGUGGGGAUCAAACAGGAUUAGAUACCCUGGUAGUCCACGCAGUAAACGAUGAUUACUAGCUGUUUGCGAUACACAGUAAGCGGCA
This 785-nucleotide ribosomal RNA is filed under the name uncultured bacterium. RNAcentral describes it as "bacterial SSU rRNA". It matches the Rfam family "Bacterial small subunit ribosomal RNA", at positions 66 to 848 of the family's 1533-position model. The record is from RNAcentral.